AAGAGCAGAGAUGAAGGAAGACUCGUUGCGGUGGUGGCCGGAACACCGUCACGGUGAUGCUCGCGGAAAGGUGAUCGGAGAAUGAGGAGGAGCGGCCGCCGUUUCUCGCGUGCGUGUGAUAAGAAGAGGAAAAUUUCAUCUUGUGCGAGGAACUUUGAGCACGAUAUUUGAUGGAUGCGCUUGGCUUUGUGUCCCGCUUUAUUUGUGGACACGACAUUAUUCUCCUGAUUGCUUUUCGUUCGUCUCCUUGUGCGAGUCACGAUUCAUAUAUGCUUGUUGUUGCUUGCCUGUUGCGACUUUUUCUUGCAGGUGUAUUAUUCAGAUGUGCCGAUACACAUUCCGAAUUGACGCGUGAUUUAUAUUUGUGUUGUCUUUGCACUUUGAUGAUGCUUAUUUCGUCUAUCAGAUUUCGGAUGCUUGAUGUUAGCUCGUGCACGCGUUCUCUGGGUUUCUUAGUUCUGCUUGCGUUGCUAGCUCAUUACGGAUUUGCUAUCCGUUCGGUAUGGUCUCCUUAUCCCUUUUACUUAUUCUCGCACCAUAUCUUGCCAUGAGAAGUAGGGUAGGCAUGCAGCAUCAUAUUUGCCAUGAGAAAUAGGACCUAGGCAUUCAUCAGGCCAAGCCCUCGAAAGAGGCUCUGUUUUUGUUUGUUUAUUAUUUCCAGUCUAUUUUUCUUGUUCACCCGUCUCGGAGGACUUUCCCCGUGGACGGGAGCUUCGAAGGACUUUCCUCGUUAGCUAGAACGUUUAUUUUUUGUCUUGUCCAACCGUCUCGGAGGACUUUCCCCGUGGACAGUGGCUUCAGAGAACUUUCCCUAUUAGCUAGAACGUUAAUUUUUUGUCUUGUUCACCCGUCUCGGAGGACUUUCCCCAUGGACAGUAGCUUCGGAGGACUUUCCCCGUUAGCUAGAACGUUUAUUUCCAGUUAUUUUCUUGUUCAACCGUCUCGGAGGACUUUCCCCGUGGACGGUGGCUUCGGAGGACUUUCCCCGUUAGCUAUAACGUCUCCCUAGUUCCCAGGUCACUACUUCGGUAGUUUGCUUGCUUUACCAGCCGAGCUCGUUUGUGUGUUGCAUUUGCAUUGAUUACUAUUUUGGUAGUUUGUUUGUUUCUCGAGCGGAGCUCGAUUGUAUGCCAUAUGGUUGUGAUGCUUGUUCACUAUCUCCUUAUCUGCUAUGCCUGUUAUUAUGAUAUCUUUGUGAUGCUUGUUCAUUAUCUCUUUAUUUGUUAUGCUUGUUAGUAUGAUAUCACUUGUGAUGCCUGCUCACAAUUUCGCAUUUGUGUAUGCCUGUUACAUGUUUGUCUUUCUAUCUACGAUGCCUGUUCGUAUGAUAUCUCUAUGAUACUUGUUCGCAUGUUCUUAUCUGUAAUUCCUGUUCACAUGCCAUGUUUGCUAGGAUCUUUGUGAUGCUCCUUGUUUGCAUGCUCCCUUAGGGUGCUCGGUUCCGUUUCGCUAGGAGACGCGAAUCGAGAUAGAAACAGAAACUUUUGAGCUGAACUACGGUGCUUUGAUAUCUCCAUUGCACGUUGGAGGUACGUAGGCACAGGGUAUGAACGCCCUAGCGAGCGAACUUUUCUUUUUUUUGUUCUGUUCAACCUUUUUCCUUUAUCUUGUUUGCCUACUAUUUGCCUGUUUCCUGUUAUCUGCUUAUCCUUCCAUUGCAUGUUUUCCUUAUCACUUUGCAUGAUACACACACACACACACACACACACCCUUAGAUUAAAAAAUGGCAAGAAUGGAUCCUGUGGAGUACCACAGACGUGAGGGGUGCUAAUACCUUCCCCUCACGUAACAGACACCCUUACCCUUUCUCUGAGACCUGUGCUAUUAUUUGGUUUUCUUCGAUAUUUUCCAUUCCUGUGUGUAGGAUAAAUAUAUGUUCGAUGGCGACUUCAUUGUUUUGUUUCGAUGAGUUUUCCAGUUGCUUCACCCCUGCAAUAUUUUUUUUUGGAUUACCCCCAUAAGCGUGCAAUUUAAACACCAAAUAUGGGGGAAAAAUCAAACAAAAAAUAUUACAGGGGAUAAACUUUACAUUUAAGGAGCAAAAGAGAUAGUAUCUUUAUAUUUUAAGGGGGUGUUUAAAAAAAAUAUUACAAAGAGAAAAAACAAAUUUCGCCAAUAUUACAAUUUUUUUAUAUAUUUAACCCUAUAAUAUGUGUAUAAGCAAUUUAUAUAAAUUAAAUUGGUAAAGUAUUUAAUAAUUUUGUAUUCUACAUUUAAAAAAUGAGACUAUGUUAAAAUGAAAAAAAUGAUUAUUAUAAUUCAUAUAUAUUAUUUAAAGAGAAAAAAUAAUAUUUAUAUACUUUACACUGUAAUCAAUAAACUGUAAUCAAUAAGAAACAUGUAUUUUGUCAAAUUAUACUUUUAACUUUAAAAUGAUAAUAUAACAUCAUAAAUAUAAAUUUUUAAAUUAAUUGUAUGUGUAAUGAGUAUCUUUAAGACAUUUUUUCAUUCCACCCCAUGAGUCUCUUACGCACCACCGAAUUGAUAAAAAUGUCUUCGAUUUUCCGUAGAUGCAUCUUCGGAAGCACCUUUUUUUUGUUUAACGUUGUUUUGUUCCAUAGUUCCACUUACAGAACUCUUCCGUAGAUGCAUCUACAGAACAAACCCAUACUAAAAAACCAGAACAACAACAUUUGUAACGAUAAAAGAUCCAUUCAUUGAUUAAAAUCGACAUUGAUUAAAAGAUACACAGAAAUUUCCAACAGAAAAUUAAGAAAACUAAGAGAUCUAAAAAAUUACAAGAGCUAAAACAAUGUCAUCUGAUCCAUGCAUCAUUAUUACGGAAUUAACAUCGCCUUCCACGUCAUCCCACCAACGUUCAUUUUCUCCGGUAUCAGACGAGGUCCGUGUUCUAAGCCUCUAGAUCUUUCUGAUGACUUCAUCGGGUUUGUACCCCCUCUAAAAAAACAUCAGAGCCCUCUUGAGUUGAUCGAAGGAAUGGAUGUUUCAAAAUGUUUGACGGGAGAGAAAACAACAUGUCCAUCCCUUAUAAGAUAAACCGGUUCAGGAUCAGGACACUUGGAUGAUGUUUGCUGCCCUGAACAUGGCCUUACGUGAGCCAUUUUUAUGUCUGUGUUUGUGUCUAAUGCAACCCUAGAAACCCCAACUUUAUAGAAGCCUUUGGUGAAUAUGGACCACACAAUCUGUCAUAGAAUGUUCUGUAAAUAUAUCCACUGAAGGGUCAUAGAUUUCUCCGUUUCGUAGAUGCAUCUAUGGUAAACACCCAUAAUUUUAAAUAUCAGACCCUUCCAUAGAUACAUCUACGAAAAUUUCCCUGUUAGUUUUUUUAACAUAAUUCAAUGCAAUAACAGCAGCAACAGUAGUAGUAGUAGUAGAAGGAAAAAACACAAAAACAUAAACACAAACACAAAAAGGAUUAUAUUUCAACGUCAUAGAGUGCAUAUAUUACACUUUGAAAUUAGAAAAAUACAUCAAAAGAACUGUUGCCAACUAAAUCUAUUGGAGGUUCUAAUAUUGACUUUUCGGCAUUUGAUUCCUUUUUGAUGUUGUUCAACCUUUCGAUGUUGUGCAUCCUAUCCACAAAAUGAUCCGACCACGUAUUGACUGCUUUGGUAUGAUGAAAUGCUUAUUCCGGUGACGUAGGUGGUAUGUGACAUCCUGGUUUCAAGUAAACUUGCACAAAAUGUUUCGAUUUUCCGAGCCAUCCAACACACAUAAUACGAUCAUUUGGAUUUGUAGGAGGUGUAGUGCGAAGCGGAAAAAAGGUUUCCGAAAAACCAUAACGCAUCAAGUCAAUGCAUACCAUGUCAUGUGCGCAUGCAAUAAGAUAUCCCAUUUUCGGGAAUCUCAUCCAUUUUGAAGUCAGUGAGUAAGCGCCCAACCAAGGAACAAGAGCUUCGUGAACCGAUUCAAAUAUAUCUUCGUCUCCAAAUACCCACGUGUACGAGUUUUUAUGGUUCAUCAACUAUUCGAUAAGUUCAUGACGGACAAGCUUAUGGUCAUCUUCUCCCUUACCAAGCAAAGCCGAUACAAUCCGGAAUCCGCAAUUACCGUCUCCUACCACAUUGACGAUCCGGUCGAUGUAUUUGUGCAUAAAAAUUGGCAUCUCGUCGAUGAAUGGAAUUUUUAGAGCAAUAUGCACCUCUUUGAUUGAUGGAAUUUUUGGAGCAAUAUGUACCUCUUUGAUUGAUGGAAUUUUUGUUUCAAUAGGUGUGGGAGUCAAAACUUUCGGAGCAAUAGGUUUUGGAGGCGGUUUGCUAAUGUGAGCUCCUUUGUUUGAAUUUUUUUGAGAUUUAGGAGUAGGUGAGUCGAGAAAGAGUUUGUCGACGUGCUCACGAUAUGAAGGAGACUGUGUAGUCAAGUUGCCAUUCGGCGUAGGCUUCACUUUCUUCGGAGCACCCUUUGUCUUAACAGUUGAAAAAAACAACUCAGGGAUUGUACCGUAGAUGCACCUAAGGAAGUGUUCUUCCUCAACACGUUCCAUAAAUGCAUCUACGGAAGCAGCGUAACUUAUUUUUCACACAAAUUAGUUGCAUAAUGUGAACAAUGUAGUGGUUAAAGUUGAAUAUUUACCUGAAAUUCAGACUCCUCUUGUGAAGGAUAGAAAAAUACUUAGCAAGGGGGGUUUGAACAAGUGUGACUUUAAAAACUCUUAAGAUAAAAACAAUGAACACAAUUAUUUUUAUCCUGGUUCGUUGUUAACGAAACUACUCCAGUCCACCCCCUUAGAGUGAUUUACCUCAACUGAGGAUUUAAUCCAUUAAUCAAUCUUGAUUACAAUGGUUUUCCACUUAGAUACCCUCUAAGUCUUCAAGAGUAUACUGAUCACAACUUGAUCACUCUAGGAAAUCACCACUUAGAAAACUUCUAAGUCUUCUAGAGUCUACUGAUCUAACUAAUCACUCUAGGAACCUUUUACAAUCAAUGUAAAAUAAAUGUUUACAAGAGUAUGAAUUUGCUUCUUAGAAAGCUAUAAUCACAACAGUGAUAUUUCUCUUAAGUUCUAAGCUUAACACUCACUAAAUAUUACAAGAGAUGUGAGGUUGAAGAUGAAGUUCGUGAGUUUUGAAUUUAGCAGCGUUUCAGUAUUUUUGCAAGAGUUGUGUUACUGCUUCUGAUCAUAACUUCCAUAUUUAUAGGCGUUUGAGAAGAUGACUGUUGGGUUGCAUUUAAUGCAUUGCGUGAAUAGUACAACACUGCAUUUAAUGUUUCACACUUUUGUCAACUACCUCGAGCCAUGUUUUUGUUGCUUUUACUGACUUUGCCUUUUGUAGCUUCUAACGUUCCUUUUGUCAGUCAGAGAUUAGACUUAAUAGCCUGUCAUCUUGUACUUGCUUCUGAACUGAGAUUGUAGAUACAAUGUUUGAAUAUCAGAGUCAUUCAGCUUGGUGCAGAGCAUCUUCUUGUCUUCUGACUUUGAAGUGCUUGAGCGUGAUACCAUAAGAACUUCAGUGCUUCUGCUUCUGACUUCUUUUUCUUCUGAUGCUUCAUAGACCAUGUUCUGAUUCUGCUUGACCAUCUUUUGAUGUCUUGCGAGAGCAUGUUCUGAUGUUGCAAUCUUGAACCUUCUGAGUCAGUGCUUCUGAGCGCUGAGUUGUGCAUACUCUUUAUGUAUUUCCUGAAAUGGAAAAUGCAAAGGAUUAGAGUACCACAUUGUCUUAUACAAAAUUCAUAUAUAUUGUUAUCAUCAAAACAAGAAUAUUGAUCAAAACAAAUCUUGUUCUAACAAUCUCCCCCUUUUUGAU
This is a long non-coding RNA of Vicia villosa (hairy vetch), 5705 nucleotides long. RefSeq lists it as uncharacterized. NCBI's taxonomy places the organism in Eukaryota, Viridiplantae, Streptophyta, Magnoliopsida, Fabales, Fabaceae. The record is from RefSeq and is a predicted model, not a curated record. The transcript is spliced from 2 exons.